AUUUGUGUAUUUUCCGAUAGCUCCAAUAUGCUGAUUAACGUAGGGUUUCUGAUUAAUGUAUCGGCAACUAUGAACAUGCCAUUAAGCCGACAGUAUUUUUUAUUAAUGAAUAGUUGUUGAAGUCAAAACAAAUGCAAAUAUGUGGUUCCAUAGUUUUUAGAAAAUACGAAAAUUAAAAGACUUCCCGUUCCUGCCUGCACCUGAAGCUAAUUAGCCUCUUCCGGGCUGCCAGUCAGGCAGCCGCGCCGCGUGCAGACCAACGGCAAACAAUUGAGCUUUUUCGUCGUCAAAUUCAAGUUCAACCAUGAGACUUUUAACAUUUCACCUUCACGAUUACUAUAAUAUGCUCAUCUUAUAAGGAAAAAGACAACUUCCGUCCAUGAUGGUCGCCAUGUUCUUGGAUGUGACUGACCGCUUCCGAGGCACGAAGCACCGCGCGGCCGGGAUGACGGCAUGUCCAUAAAGAGAGGAGCCCGCCACGGAAACGGGCUGCCUUCCACGUUGACCCGCGCGUCAUCGGCCGUCACCUGUACUGCGGAGAAGCGUUUGUAGUGGCCACGUUGUCGCGCUCAGGAUCGGAGAGGUUCCGGGCAAACACGCAGCCGCCACAUGCAGAGUCUGGGAGGUGGACGGACGGGUCUGUGCGACCACGAUGACAACCUGCGCCUGGGCUGGGGAGGACUUGGUGACGCCCACGGUUGUGGAACCGCUCCCCCUCGCAGCGCUGGACCACCUGCAACAGAGAAAUAUGUUACACCAGGGGGAGGACACUUGGGCUCCCCGACACCCCUACUCUGCCUGCUUGAGAUCUCGCUCUAAGAAGAGCAAGAUCUCAAGCAGGCAGGCUAGGGGUCUCGGGGAGCCGAAGUUCCUCGAGAGCCAGAGCCUGCCUGCAUUCGAUCUCUCUAGAUCGAAAGUAGGCAGACUCUGACUCUCGAGGAAGUUCAGUUCCCUCCCCCUGUGAAAAACAAAGGGUCUCAAACGCCGGUCGUCAGGGGCCGCUUUCCUGCCUGUUUUCCGUCUGUCCCUGAUGCAACACACACACACCUGAUUCAAAUGAUCAAGAAUGAUCAUUUGAAUCAGGUGUGUGUGUUGCAGCAAGAAGAGUCAAAAGCAGGCAGGAAGUCGGAAAGCGGCCCUCAACAACCGUCGUUUGAGAGCCCUUGUGUGAAACAAAUGGUCAAUUACUCACCCCUGCCACCAUCUUGUUCCUCACGACCCAGUCAAGAUACGUUGAUCCUAAACAAACAAAUAAAGAGAAACAUGACACCAGUUGUUGCACCAUGUCGUAUCUGGUGUUUUUCCUCACCUUCAGUCUUGCCCAGGCAGCUUGCUGGUGAGUCCUGGUGGACGCAAAGUGUUGCCAUAGUGACGUGAAGAAGAAGCAAAUAGUUUCUGACUGCCACCAUCUUGUUCCUAAGGACCCGGUCGAGACACGUUGAGCCUACACACCCAAAAUAAACAAAAAUAAAUGAGGAGAAACAUGACAUCAGUGGUUGCCCCAAGUCAUCUCUGGUGUACUUCCUCACCUUCAGUCUUGCCCAUGCAGCUUGCUGGUGAGUCCUGGUGGAUGCAAAGUGUUGCCAUAGUUACGUGAAGAACAAGCAAGCAGUUUGACGAGUUUUAUGUCUUUGUAAAGAAUACAUUUGUUGAAGUGAUUGAGUUCAUGUUCCUACCUGAAUCAGGAUGAUUCUGCCAGUGAAGCUCCUCAUCACCGUGUGCGGAAACAAUAAAACGAGGUCCUGGUUGUACGUGCAGGGUACUCGGCAGGGAGGAGAGCGGGGACCGGCUGGACACCUUGAAGAAGACAAGCCUGCAGCAGGACGGUGGCCUGAAAACAGAGAACAGUCAGCGUUGCAGUUUUUGCAGCACCAGAGACAUUC
Hippocampus comes (tiger tail seahorse) is the source of this 1883-nucleotide long non-coding RNA. RefSeq lists it as uncharacterized. The record is from RefSeq and is a predicted model, not a curated record. NCBI's taxonomy places the organism in Eukaryota, Metazoa, Chordata, Actinopteri, Syngnathiformes, Syngnathidae. The transcript is spliced from 5 exons.